CCUACGGGUGGCAACAGUGAGGAAUAUUGGUCAAUGGGCGCGAGCCUGAACCAGCCAAGUAGCGUGAAGGAUGACUGCCCUACGGGUUGUAAACUUCUUUUAUAAAGGAAUAAAGUGAGGCACGUGUGCCUUUUUGUAUGUACUUUAUGAAUAAGGAUCGGCUAACUCCGUGCCAGCAGCCGCGGUCAUACGUAGGAUCCGAGCAUUAUCCGGAGUGACUGGGUGUAAAGAGUGCCGUAGGUGGCAUAAUAAGUAGCUAGUGAAAUCUGGUGGCUUAACCAUUCAGACUAUUAGCUAAACUGUUAGGCUUGAGUACGUUAGAGGUAAGUGGAAUUUGUGGUGUAGGAGUGAAAUGCGUAGAUAUUAGGAAGAACACCAAUAGCGUAGGCAGGUUGCUGGGACGGUACUGACACUGAGGCACGAAAGCGUAGGGAGCAAACAGGAUUAGAUACCCGUGUAGUC
This 462-nucleotide ribosomal RNA is filed under the name uncultured bacterium. RNAcentral describes it as "partial 16S ribosomal RNA". It matches the Rfam family "Bacterial small subunit ribosomal RNA", at positions 338 to 795 of the family's 1533-position model. The record is from RNAcentral.